GAUGAACGCUGGCGGCGUGCUUAACACAUGCAAGUCGAACGGGAUCCAAGAAGUGCUUGCACUUUUUGGUGAGAGUGGCGAACGGGUGAGUAACACGUGAGUAACCUGUCCUUUUCUUUGGGAUAAGCUUCCGAAAGGGUGUUUAAUACCUUAUGUUCUGUCUGCCUCGCAUGGGGUGGGUGGGAAAGAUUUUUUCGGUAAAGGGUGGGCUCGCGGUCUAUCAGCUUGUUGGUGGGGUGAUGGCCUACCAAGGCUUUGACGGGUAGCCGAUCUAAGAGGAUGACCGGCCACAUUGGAACUGAGAAACGGUCCAAACUCCUACGGGAGGCAGCAGUGGGGAAUAUUGCACAAUGGGGGGAACCCUGAUGCAGCGACGCCGCGUGAGCGAUGAAGGCUUUCGAGUCGUAAAGCUCUGUCCUAUGGGAAGAUAAUGACGGUACCAUAGAAGAAAGCCCCGGCUAAUUACGUGCCAGCAGCCGCGGUAAUACGUAAGGGGCGAGCGUUGUCCGGAAUUAUUGGGCGUAAAGAGUGCGUAGGCGGCAAAUUAAGUCAGAUGUGAAAACUAAGGGCUCAACCCAUAGAUUGCAUCUGAAACUGAUAUGCUUGAGUCAAGGAGAGGAAAGUGGAAUUCCUAGUGUAGCGGUGGAAUGCGUAGAUAUUAGGAGGAAUACCGGUGGCGAAGGCGACUUUCUGGACUUGAACUGACGCUGAGGCACGAAAGCGUGGGGAGCAAACAGG
This 738-nucleotide ribosomal RNA is filed under the name Prevotella melaninogenica. Its description in RNAcentral is "bacterial SSU rRNA". It matches the Rfam family "Bacterial small subunit ribosomal RNA", at positions 28 to 776 of the family's 1533-position model. Lineage: Bacteria; Pseudomonadati; Bacteroidota; Bacteroidia; Bacteroidales; Prevotellaceae. The record is from RNAcentral.